This 2925-nucleotide ribosomal RNA is filed under the name Escherichia coli. RNAcentral describes it as "bacterial LSU rRNA". It matches the Rfam family "Bacterial large subunit ribosomal RNA". Lineage: Bacteria; Pseudomonadati; Pseudomonadota; Gammaproteobacteria; Enterobacterales; Enterobacteriaceae. The record is from RNAcentral.
GGGUUGUGAGGUUAAGCGACUAAGCGUACACGGUGGAUGCCCUGGCAGUCAGAGGCGAUGAAGGACGUGCUAAUCUGCGAUAAGCGUCGGUAAGGUGAUAUGAACCGUUAUAACCGGCGAUUUCCGAAUGGGGAAACCCAGUGUGAUUCGUCACACUAUCAUUAACUGAAUCCAUAGGUUAAUGAGGCGAACCGGGGGAACUGAAACAUCUAAGUACCCCGAGGAAAAGAAAUCAACCGAGAUUCCCCCAGUAGCGGCGAGCGAACGGGGAGGAGCCCAGAGCCUGAAUCAGUGUGUGUGUUAGUGGAAGCGUCUGGAAAGGCGCGCGAUACAGGGUGACAGCCCCGUACACAAAAAUGCACAUACUGUGAGCUCGAUGAGUAGGCGGGACACGUGGUAUCCUGUCUGAAUAUGGGGGGACCAUCCUCCAAGGCUAAAUACUCCUGACUGACCGAUAGUGAACCAGUACCGUGAGGGAAAGGCGAAAAGAACCCCGGCGAGGGGAGUGAAAAAGAACCUGAAACCGUGUACGUACAAGCAGUGGGAGCACGCUUCGGCGUGUGACUGCGUACCUUUUGUAUAAUGGGUCAGCGACUUAUAUUCUGUAGCAAGGUUAACCGAAUAGGGGAGCCGAAGGGAAACCGAGUCUUAACUGGGCGUUAAGUUGCAGGGUAUAGACCCGAAACCCGGUGAUCUAGCCAUGGGCAGGUUGAAGGUUGGGUAACACUAACUGGAGGACCGAACCGACUAAUGUUGAAAAAUUAGCGGAUGACUUGUGGCUGGGGGUGAAAGGCCAAUCAAACCGGGAGAUAGCUGGUUCUCCCCGAAAGCUAUUUAGGUAGCGCCUCGUGAAUUCAUCUCCGGGGGUAGAGCACUGUUUCGGCAAGGGGGUCAUCCCGACUUACCAACCCGAUGCAAACUGCGAAUACCGGAGAAUGUUAUCACGGGAGACACACGGCGGGUGCUAACGUCCGUCGUGAAGAGGGAAACAACCCAGACCGCCAGCUAAGGUCCCAAAGUCAUGGUUAAGUGGGAAACGAUGUGGGAAGGCCCAGACAGCCAGGAUGUUGGCUUAGAAGCAGCCAUCAUUUAAAGAAAGCGUAAUAGCUCACUGGUCGAGUCGGCCUGCGCGGAAGAUGUAACGGGGCUAAACCAUGCACCGAAGCUGCGGCAGCGACACUAUGUGUUGUUGGGUAGGGGAGCGUUCUGUAAGCCUGCGAAGGUGGCCUGUGAGGGUUGCUGGAGGUAUCAGAAGUGCGAAUGCUGACAUAAGUAACGAUAAAGCGGGUGAAAAGCCCGCUCGCCGGAAGACCAAGGGUUCCUGUCCAACGUUAAUCGGGGCAGGGUGAGUCGACCCCUAAGGCGAGGCCGAAAGGCGUAGUCGAUGGGAAACAGGUUAAUAUUCCUGUACUUGGUGUUACUGCGAAGGGGGGACGGAGAAGGCUAUGUUGGCCGGGCGACGGUUGUCCCGGUUUAAGCGUGUAGGCUGGUUUUCCAGGCAAAUCCGGAAAAUCAAGGCUGAGGCGUGAUGACGAGGCACUACGGUGCUGAAGCAACAAAUGCCCUGCUUCCAGGAAAAGCCUCUAAGCAUCAGGUAACAUCAAAUCGUACCCCAAACCGACACAGGUGGUCAGGUAGAGAAUACCAAGGCGCUUGAGAGAACUCGGGUGAAGGAACUAGGCAAAAUGGUGCCGUAACUUCGGGAGAAGGCACGCUGAUACGUAGGUGAAGUCCCUCGCGGAUGGAGCUGAAAUCAGUCGAAGAUACCAGCUGGCUGCAACUGUUUAUUAAAAACACAGCACUGUGCAAACACGAAAGUGGACGUAUACGGUGUGACGCCUGCCCGGUGCCGGAAGGUUAAUUGAUGGGGUUAGCGGUAACGCGAAGCUCUUGAUCGAAGCCCCGGUAAACGGCGGCCGUAACUAUAACGGUCCUAAGGUAGCGAAAUUCCUUGUCGGGUAAGUUCCGACCUGCACGAAUGGCGUAAUGAUGGCCAGGCUGUCUCCACCCGAGACUCAGUGAAAUUGAACUCGCUGUGAAGAUGCAGUGUACCCGCGGCAAGACGGAAAGACCCCGUGAACCUUUACUAUAGCUUGACACUGAACAUUGAGCCUUGAUGUGUAGGAUAGGUGGGAGGCUUUGAAGUGUGGACGCCAGUCUGCAUGGAGCCGACCUUGAAAUACCACCCUUUAAUGUUUGAUGUUCUAACGUUGACCCGUUAUCCGGGUUGCGGACAGUGUCUGGUGGGUAGUUUGACUGGGGCGGUCUCCUCCUAAAGAGUAACGGAGGAGCACGAAGGUUGGCUAAUCCUGGUCGGACAUCAGGAGGUUAGUGCAAUGGCAUAAGCCAGCUUGACUGCGAGCGUGACGGCGCGAGCAGGUGCGAAAGCAGGUCAUAGUGAUCCGGUGGUUCUGAAUGGAAGGGCCAUCGCUCAACGGAUAAAAGGUACUCCGGGGAUAACAGGCUGAUACCGCCCAAGAGUUCAUAUCGACGGCGGUGUUUGGCACCUCGAUGUCGGCUCAUCACAUCCUGGGGCUGAAGUAGGUCCCAAGGGUAUGGCUGUUCGCCAUUUAAAGUGGUACGCGAGCUGGGUUUAGAACGUCGUGAGACAGUUCGGUCCCUAUCUGCCGUGGGCGCUGGAGAACUGAGGGGGGCUGCUCCUAGUACGAGAGGACCGGAGUGGACGCAUCACUGGUGUUCGGGUUGUCAUGCCAAUGGCACUGCCCGGUAGCUAAAUGCGGAAGAGAUAAGUGCUGAAAGCAUCUAAGCACGAAACUUGCCCCGAGAUGAGUUCUCCCUGACUCCCUGAGAGUCCUGAAGGAACGUUGAAGACGACGACGUUGAUAGGCCGGGUGUGUAAGCGCAGCGAUGCGUUGAGCUAACCGGUACUAAUGAACCGUGAGGCUUAACCUUACAACGCCGAAG